GAUGAAGAACGUAGCGAAAUGCGAUAAGUAAUGUGAAUUGCAGAAUUCAGUGAAUCAUCGAAUCUUUGAACGCACAUUGCGCCCCCUGGUAUUCCGGGGGGCAUGCCUGUCCGAGCGUCAUUACAACCCUCAAGCUCAGCUUGGUGUUGGGCCCCGCCGCCCCGGCGGGCCCUAAAGUCAGUGGCGGUGCCGUCCGGCUCCGAGCGUAGUAAUUCUUCUCGCUCUGGAGGUCCGGUCGUGUGCUCGCCAGCAACCCCCAAUUUUUUUCAGGUUGACCUCGGAUCAGGUAGGGAUACCCGCUGAACUUAAGCAUAUCAAUAAGCGGAGGG
RNAcentral lists this unclassified non-coding RNA (329 nucleotides) under soil metagenome. RNAcentral's name for it is "partial contains 5.8S ribosomal RNA, internal transcribed spacer 2, and large subunit ribosomal RNA". The stretch from base 1 to 120 matches the Rfam family "5.8S ribosomal RNA", at positions 35 to 154 of the family's 154-position model. The record is from RNAcentral.